GCAGCACGGUGGCUUUGCUUUGUUUUAGGAAUACCUCCGAGAGGAGCUGUCGUCUCUUCCAACCUGAAAGAUUUGCCUGGAAUUCUUUCUGCCAAUCAGGCCGGCCUUCCGGCCUUCUCAUACGCUGUUCGGCACUCAGUGAUGCUUCUGCUGGGGUCCAACAGGCAUUCAGCCUGAGAUGGGGGGUGAAAGGUCAUCUCUCUGGAGAUCUGCAGAGGGAGGAAAGAUGGAGACUCUAAGGAGGAGACGGUUAAGUGAUUUCAUGAACGGAAACAGAGGCUCUUGAGAAGAAAUGUUCAGAACUAGAACCCGGCAGUGAGUUUCCAUCUGGUGCUUUUGAACUAAGGAGAGUGGGUGUCCACAGAUGGCAACAUUGAUGGAGCUGACCUGCUCCGUGCUGGGAAAUGUUCCUUGAUUCUCUGGCCAGCCAAGCAGCCAUCUACAGCUCCUAUCUUCCCUGGGUCCCCAGGCCUGAGACUUAUUCUCCUGCUUCCCACAAGCCACUGCAGAGCCAACCCAACAGUUCUCAAAUAUGCCUUCUGUCAAAAUGGCAGAGAAGUUUAAAUGCCCAUCUUACUGCCAACCCAGAAACUCUGUCUUCCUUUAGAUAAACGCCCACUCUAUUCGGAA
This is a long non-coding RNA of Mastomys coucha (southern multimammate mouse), 630 nucleotides long. RefSeq lists it as uncharacterized. The transcript has 2 exons. NCBI's taxonomy places the organism in Eukaryota, Metazoa, Chordata, Mammalia, Rodentia, Muridae. The record is from RefSeq and is a predicted model, not a curated record.